This 407-nucleotide ribosomal RNA is filed under the name uncultured bacterium. Its description in RNAcentral is "partial 16S ribosomal RNA". It matches the Rfam family "Bacterial small subunit ribosomal RNA", at positions 28 to 526 of the family's 1533-position model. The record is from RNAcentral.
GACGAACGCUGGCGGCGUGCCUAAUACAUGCAAGUAGAACGCAGUUGCGAACGGGUGAGUAACGCGUAGGUAACUGCCUCAUAGCGGGGGAUAACUAUUGGAAACGAUAGCUAAUACCGCAUACUGUGAGAUGGACCUGCGUUGUAUUAGCUAGUUGGUGAGGUAAAGGCUCACCAAGGCGACGAUACAUAGCCGACCUGAGAGGGUUAUCGGCGACACUGGUACUGAGACACGGCCCAGACUCCGACGGGAGGCAGCAGGAGGGAAAGUUGGUGAAUUGACGGAAGUCUGACCGAGCAACGCGGGGGGAGGGAAGAAGGUUUUCGGAUCGUAAAGCUCUGUUGGUAGAGAAGCGUUAACUAACCAGAAAGGGACGGCUAACUACGUGCCAGCAGCCGCGGUAAUAC